CACCCCCGCCCCACCCAGCCAGGGACGGAGAACGCGGCCUUUGAGGGUCUACCCACGGGGCGGGACACACUUGUGUGUGUCAGGGGCAAGGGGCCGGGGGCACCUCUCUGUGCACAGCAUCUGCCCGUGUUCGGCACUCACGCACGUGGGGGGGGGUGUCCCAUGUGUGUCGCGAGCAUGUGUAUGUGGCACGUGCUCAUGUGUUUAGCGUGGAGUGGAGCGUGUGUGUCCCAUGUACAUGCUCCGGCGGGUGGCGUGUGUCCUGCACGUGUGGUGUGUAUGUCGUGCGGGUCCGUGUGUAGCAUGCAGGCAUCGUUUGGGCAUGUAACAUAUAUAUAUAGCAUGUUCGCAUGUGCAGGGUCCCACAUGUGUAGCAUAGGCCCCUGUGUAGCAUUUGUGGGUCUCUGUGUCAUUUAAUCACUGACUGUACAAGUGUAUUUCCCUGACCCCCCUGCCCUGCCUGGGGACUCUCCCCUCUGGGCACACGGUGCCCUGUUCCUCCUGGGGCUGCUUUCCUUAUGCUCCUCACUGCGGGCAGUGGGGUCGGGCAAAGUGCAGGGCAUGAGCACCCAGUGCAUCCCCCUCGCCCUGGGGAGCAAAGAGCAGUGGCAGCAGUCCAGCCCCAGGGGAACUGCCCGUGGUGCUUUGGGCAAGCUUGUGGGAUGGAGCAAAGCUGUGGGGAGGGUGUCAAUGGGGCAACACAGUGCACUGGGGACAUUCCCUCAUCAGGCCCAGAUCUCUGCAUCUCCCCACGGGGGCUGUCCCUGCUCCCUAUGCUGAACCCCAGUCACCUCCGAGCCAGGCCCCUGAGGACAGACAGAGCGCAGAGCUGAUAAGCACCAGCUCUGCAAAGGUCCUGGCCCAGUGCGAAGGAGGCCGGGCUACGGUGAAGGGCCCGGCCCGGCGCGAAGGAGGCCAGGCUAUGGCAAAGGGCCCAGCCUGGCGCGAAGAAGGCCAGGCUGUGGUGAAGGGCCUGGCCCGGUGCGAAGGAGGCCAGGCUAUGGCAAAGGGCCCAGCCCGGCGCGAAGAAGGCCGGGCUGCGGUGAAGGACCCGAACCGGUGCGAAGGAGGCCAGGCUAUGGCAAAGGGCCUGGCCCGGCGCGAAGGAGCCCGGGCUGCGGUGAAGGGCCUGGCCCGGCGCGAAGGAGCCCGGGCUGUGGCGAAGGGCCCGGCCUGGCGCGAA
Molecule: long non-coding RNA, 1183 nt
Organism: Gopherus flavomarginatus (Mexican gopher tortoise)
Lineage: Eukaryota; Metazoa; Chordata; Testudines; Testudinidae
Exons: 2
Source: RefSeq, a predicted model, not a curated record